This is a long non-coding RNA of Oncorhynchus keta (chum salmon), 253 nucleotides long. RefSeq lists it as uncharacterized. The record is from RefSeq and is a predicted model, not a curated record. NCBI's taxonomy places the organism in Eukaryota, Metazoa, Chordata, Actinopteri, Salmoniformes, Salmonidae. The transcript is spliced from 3 exons.
GUUGUUAUAUAGAAACAGGCAGAGUACAGGUACUAAACAGGUAAGAGACGUUGUUGUUGUUGUUAUAUAGAAACAGGCAGAGUACAGGUACUAAACAGGUAUGAGACGUUGUUGUUGUUGUUAUAUAGAAACAGGCAGAGUACAGGUACUAAACAGGUAAGAGACGUUGUUGUUGUUAUUAUAUAGAAACAGGCAGAGUACAGGUACUAAACAGGUAAGAGACGUUGUUGUUGUUAUAUAGAAACAGGCAGAG